Molecule: ribosomal RNA, 366 nt
Filed under: uncultured bacterium
Lineage: Bacteria
Description: bacterial SSU rRNA
Rfam family: Bacterial small subunit ribosomal RNA
Source: RNAcentral
AACGAACGCUGGCGGCAUGCCUAACACAUGCAAGUCGAGCGCCCGUAGCAAUACGGGAGCGGCGCACGGGUGAGUAACGCGUGGGAACCUGCCCAGAGGUCUGGGACAACCGCGGGAAACUGCGGCUGAUACCGGAUGAUUCCUGAGGGACAAAGAUUUAUCGCCUUUGGAGGGGCCCGCGUCGGAAUUUAGGGUAGUUGGUGGGGUAACGGCUCACCAAGCCUAUGAUCCGUAACUGGUCUGAGAGGAUGACCAGUCACACUGGGACUGAGACACGGCCCAGACUCCUACGGGAGGCAGCAGUGGGGAGUAUUGGACAAUGGGGGGCAACCCUGAUCCAGCAAUGCCGCGUGGGUGAUGAAGGCC